GCGAUGUAGGUGAAAGCAGUGGUGGAGGAGGAGGAUGAGGUAGCCAACACUGUUUUUUAUGUUUUUUUUUAAUUGUGGUAGCCCACAAAAUAUUGGGACAUACAAAAAAAGUAGAGUAGCUGUUGACAUUAUAGUUGCGCAGGCACUUUGUUGACUCUAGAGAACCUCGGGCCAAUCGCAUAUCCUUGUGGCGGCAACUUUGCAUGCGGAUGUCAUCCAUAUCAACUGUCGAUGCCAGUACGGGUAACGGAGAAUCAGGGUUCCAUUCCGUACAAGAACCCUGAGAAACGGCUACUACAUGCAAGGAAGGCAGCAGGCG
Pelobates cultripes (western spadefoot toad) is the source of this 319-nucleotide non-coding RNA. The record is from the annotation of a GenBank genome assembly. NCBI's taxonomy places the organism in Eukaryota, Metazoa, Chordata, Amphibia, Anura, Pelobatidae.